Molecule: ribosomal RNA, 1401 nt
Filed under: Salmonella enterica subsp. enterica serovar Virchow
Lineage: Bacteria; Pseudomonadati; Pseudomonadota; Gammaproteobacteria; Enterobacterales; Enterobacteriaceae
Description: partial 23S ribosomal RNA
Rfam family: Bacterial large subunit ribosomal RNA
Source: RNAcentral
CCGUUAUAACCGGCGAUACCCGAAUGGGGAAACCCAGUGUGACUCGUCACACUAUCAUUAACUGAAUCCAUAGGUUAAUGAGGCGAACCGGGGGAACUGAAACAUCUAAGUACCCCGAGGAAAAGAAAUCAACCGAGAUUCCCCCAGUAGCGGCGAGCGAACGGGGAGGAGCCCAGAGCCUGAAUCAGCAUGUGUGUUAGUGGAAGCGUCUGGAAAGGCGCGCGAUACAGGGUGACAGCCCCGUACACAAAAGCGCAUGUGCUGUGAGCUCGAUGAGUAGGGCGGGACACGUGGUAUCCUGUCUGAAUAUGGGGGGACCAUCCUCCAAGGCUAAAUACUCCUGACUGACCGAUAGUGAACCAGUACCGUGAGGGAAAGGCGAAAAGAACCCCGGCGAGGGGAGUGAAAAAGAACCUGAAACCGUGUACGUACAAGCAGUGGGAGCACCCUUCGGGGUGUGACUGCGUACCUUUUGUAUAAUGGGUCAGCGACUUAUAUUCUGUAGCAAGGUUAACCGUAUAGGGGAGCCGUAGGGAAACCGAGUCUUAACCGGGCGUUAAGUUGCAGGGUAUAGACCCGAAACCCGGUGAUCUAGCCAUGGGCAGGUUGAAGGUUGGGUAACACUAACUGGAGGACCGAACCGACUAAUGUUGAAAAAUUAGCGGAUGACCUGUGGCUGGGGGUGAAAGGCCAAUCAAACCGGGAGAUAGCUGGUUCUCCCCGAAAGCUAUUUAGGUAGCGCCUCGUGAAUUCAUCUCCGGGGGUAGAGCACUGUUUCGGCUAGGGGGCCAUCCCGGCUUACCAACCCGAUGCAAACUGCGAAUACCGGAGAAUGUUAUCACGGGAGACACACGGCGGGUGCUAACGUCCGUCGUGAAGAGGGAAACAACCCAGACCGCCAGCUAAGGUCCCAAAGUCAUGGUUAAGUGGGAAACGAUGUGGGAAGGCCCAGACAGCCAGGAUGUUGGCUUAGAAGCAGCCAUCAUUUAAAGAAAGCGUAAUAGCUCACUGGUCGAGUCGGCCUGCGCGGAAGAUGUAACGGGGCUAAACCAUGCACCGAAGCUGCGGCAGCGACACUCAGGUGUUGUUGGGUAGGGGAGCGUUCUGUAAGCCUGUGAAGGUGGCCUGUGAGGGUUGCUGGAGGUAUCAGAAGUGCGAAUGCUGACAUAAGUAACGAUAAAGCGGGUGAAAAGCCCGCUCGCCGGAAGACCAAGGGUUCCUGUCCAACGUUAAUCGGGGCAGGGUGAGUCGACCCCUAAGGCGAGGCCGAAAGGCGUAGUCGAUGGGAAACGGGUUAAUAUUCCCGUACUUGGUGUUACUGCGAAGGGGGGACGGAGAAGGCUAUGUUGGCCGGGCGACGGUUGUCCCGGUUUAAGCGUGUAGGUGUGUGUUCCAGGUAAA